CCCUUAGAUGUCCGGGGCCGCACGCGCGCUACAAUGGAUGAAUCAACGCGUCAUCCUGGCCCGAAAGGGUUGGGGAACCGCUGAACCUCAUCCGUGGUUGGGAUUGGGGUUUGUAAUUAUUCCCCAUGAACUAGGAAUUCCCAGUAAGCGCGAGUCAUAAGCUCGCGUUGAUUACGUCCCUGCCCUUUGUACACACCGCCCGUCGCUACUACCGAUUGAACGUUUUAGUGAGCUCCUCGGAUUGUCAGCCUGGCGGUUAAUCCUGCCUGGCUAGCGAAAAGACGAGCAAACUUGAGCGUUUAGAGGAAGUAAAAGUCGUAACA
Molecule: ribosomal RNA, 323 nt
Filed under: uncultured eukaryote
Lineage: Eukaryota
Description: partial 18S ribosomal RNA
Rfam family: Eukaryotic small subunit ribosomal RNA
Source: RNAcentral